UUAAGACGAGGAUGCAUGUAGCAGGGACUUGCUCUUGUUCUGAGACAUCAGGGCAUAUCUCGCUUGAGAAUAUCUCGUCUCUGGUCGAAGCCGACUUAAAUUUUGAAAUUCUACCUCGUGUGCAUGUGCCUGGUGACAUUAGGAUGGCCUGCGACCUGUUGAAGGAAGGAAUUUCUUGAGAAGCUGCAGGGAGUUCCUACAAUCACCCUUGUGAUACCCGUGUUUGCAGGUACAUGCUCAAUAUUUUUACCAUUAUUUAGACGUGCUCCUGUUGAAUGGUUUCCGUGUAAAUGCUGUAUGUUUCCCCACUUGAGUGAUCAUUGUGGACUCAUGUGUAAUUAGUUAUUGGCAGAUAGGAUGAUUGGUCACUCUGUGGUCCGAAUUACGACGCAAGACAAGCCUUGGAGCUUCUUCCCUAUGUUUAAUCUCCAAUAAAUGGAUCGCCCAAUUUUCGGGACAAUGAAUGCCGCUAGAUAUUGCUUUUUAUCGUGGAUGCUACUCAGGGCAGCGUUCUUAGACGCCUCAAUUUUCAAAGGGAAAGAGAUUAUUCCAGAAAGGUUUCUUGAAUUUUCAACCUUUCAGUUUAUAGAGAAAGUACAAUUAUUUGCAAAUAUAACAAAGUUUAGUUGACCUAGUCAUCUUGGAUCCACAGAACUGCAUCAUGCUCUCUUGUCACAUCAGGCUGUCGUUCCAUAAUCAUCUUACAUAGUGUUCUUACGAUAUUUUACGAUGGCAGUGGAUAGAUUAACUUGGAAAGUUCAGUCAAUACUGAGGUUCGCUGUCUCAUGUGACCAACCAUUGGAAUUUUCGGAUCCUUCAAAUAUCUUGAGUUCGACAUGAGGAGCAUAUGUAAAUGGUCUCGAUUAUUACAGAGAUUCUCUUGUUAAUUUAUAAUUUUAGUGUAUCCUUAUCGGUCAGCCUUUUCAUGGCUGGGAGAUAGGGUCAAAGGAUAUUGUAUUUGGAUGGACUGUAGUUUCGUUAUUAUGUAUUCGUGUUAAACAGGAAGACUAGUUUUAAUCAGAUUUUCUAUGUUGCUUGCUCAAUGUACUUAGAUUUUGUCCCUUUUGGAGAUGAAAGGAGUGCCGCCUCUGUCCUUAACAUGUCAGAAUCUGAUUCUGCAUGGACUGGUUAGUCAUUGGGACCUUCCCGGGAUAGCAUAAUAUCUCCUAAGUUCACAGUGCCUGGAAAAAUUAGUCCUACACCUAACUGGCUGUCCAAUGUUGAAGGUUUGUUCCUUUACCAUGAUACUUUCAGUUUGAUGACUUCCUCUUUGGACUAAUAUUUAAACAGUGAGUUAAAACUUUAGAAGGACAUAAAGAUGAUCUAUCUUGAAUUCUUAUUUGUUCCAGCAUUUGAAAUUUGCUCAUAACUUUGUCAGUCUACUUCUUUCUUAUUUUCUCUUUGCCUUUUUUCCUUUCCCGUCUUUUUUCUACUUCUUAUUUCUUACAAUAAUCUACACCGUCUGUUAUUUUUCCUUUUCCCUUUUCUCUUUUCCUGCUUUUUUUCUACUUCUUCGUUACAAUAAUCUGCACUAACUGUUUUUUAGCCAGCAUUACUCAUUCUCUCAAAUUGAAGACCGCCACCUUCAAUAUGAGGUAGGCCACCUACAUCGUGUCUUAAUAUAACUAUGUUGUGACCUCAUCAGGACGUAAUUGUCAUUAAUGAUCUAUUUUUAAAGCCCAAAUACGAAUAGUUUAUUAAAGGCCUUACAUGCCAUGAUGUGGUUAGCACAUUUAAGAUAUUAAUUCCCACAUACAUACGCAAAAAUGUGUCUAAACGUUUAUUAACGUGUCCAAACUUAUCUAAUCAUGUGGGGUCCACACACGUAAUACUAACGUGUUUAAUUAAAUGUAUCUACAUAUGCGAUGAAAGCGUCGAAAGGUUUCCUUUGUGACAGCAUGUUUAUCACAUAUGUUUAAACAUACAUGUCCACCUAAUUUUCUGCCACCCGUGUAAACAAAUCAUGUUGAAAAUUGUGGACCUUAGUUGGAGGUGAUACGGCUCCAAAGUAUGUUCAGGGGUAAAGGGGCAAGGUGUGGCAUCAACCAAGGUGGAGUUUACCGAGGAAGAGGUCCUGAAAUUUGAUGAUGAGAAAAGAAAUAUUAAGUGGAUUACUGUAUCAAGUAAGUUUUGUGUUCCUUUUUUCUCUGAGCUUAAGUUUUUAUUUUGGUCAUUUCAAUUCUUUUUCACAUAAAGAUCAUUUAAUUUGUAUGAAGCAGACAGUGCAAAAGAACUCAAAAGACAAAAUUCUGACCAAGAAAAUUUUCAGCCACAAAAAUAGGAAAAAGGCUGAAAAGAAAUUUGGAGGACGAACUCCAGUAGUCAAAAAUGGAUAGGAAAUCAAAGCAAAUUUCUAAGCAGGUAGACUGUAAAAUCGAGAUCGAUCAAUUUAAUUUGACCUCCUUUCGAUUAAAGAAAAGAGAUCAAUUCUGUGAAAAAUUAAAAAGGAAAAAAGGAAGAAAGAAAAAACAAUAUCAGUUAAAAGGGCAACGUGACUUCAGUCCCGGUCGCCUAUAAAUCCUUAGAAAAACUUUGAAUCCAUGGCACAUAGGAGACCUCCACAUGCGGUGCCAUCCACUGCGAAUCCUCUGGCAAGUGGCCAGAUCGCACUAGAUGACACUGGCCUCCUCCUCCUCCUCCUCCUCCUCCUCCUCUGAAGUGAAGCAGGACUCCAAGGAUCUCAUUAGUGCCCUGCCAAACACCAUGGUCCACCACAUCUCAGUUGCUGCAGUUUCUCAUUGGGUAGGAGGAUUAGGUGGCCUCGUCUUAAAGGUGUUGUCGAUUGCAUAUUCGGAUUGGAGUGAUGAUAUCCUUAUGGGGAUUUUCAGGGGAAGUCCUGUUCUAGAGUCUCUUCACUUUUGCUAUCUUUAUUGUUUCACGAAUCAUCUAAGUAAUUUUUUUUCUUGUGCCUCAAUCCUUUAUAUAGGUUCUACUGAUCAUCUGAAGAUACCAAUCACCGGAUAUAGUUUGAUGUGGACCUCCAGGUCCAUAUCUUGGCACAGGCAGACAUAUGUCAUGCUUGUUUUACAUUUAUAUUGAACUAUUUUGUCCAAUAUCUUCUCUCUUUAACAGUCUUUGCCUUCAGGGUGGUCUAGUUCCUAUACAUGAUCUUCAAAAUGGCUAGUGGAUUUCGGGCCUUCAGGCUUGAUCGGAUGCAGGAAAUGGUUUCUCUUUACACCCGUUUCUGCCAAUGGCUGCUUCUUCUUCGGGGCCCCAAAGAUUUGAGGGUCCCGAGGAUAAUGAUGCAGGAUUUCAUUUGAGGGAUAUCAUAGGCCUCCACCUUUUGUGGCUAAAGCUUGACAGCAUAUUUACUUCUCAUUAUUGAAUGACUUUGUGAUUGUGCUAAUUCAAUCAAAAUAUUGGGCUCUAGAAGAUCCUCCAUUGGGUUUUUUCAUGUUCCUGUUCUUCAUUUUCUUCCCAAAGUCUCACUGGAGGCUCUAGGGCCCGAUGUUCAGAAUUUUUGUGGGGUAAAAAUGUCCUUUUUUAUUUCAACUUCUUGGACAAGCUAAGAUUAUGCUAUCUUGAAGUUUUUGUUGCCAGUUUCAGCAGCCACACUCUUUUCUGCUUUACCUUUAUGAUGUACUUAGAUCAAAUGGUUCCAUGUUUAAUUAGACCGAUUAGAGUAGAUAUUUUAGUAGCUUUAACUAUAUAUAUGUGUACUCCCUUUUGAUAACCUCAACAAGUUACCAUUGCCAUUGGUUUA
Molecule: long non-coding RNA, 3703 nt
Organism: Eucalyptus grandis
Lineage: Eukaryota; Viridiplantae; Streptophyta; Magnoliopsida; Myrtales; Myrtaceae
Exons: 2
Source: RefSeq, a predicted model, not a curated record